This 434-nucleotide ribosomal RNA is filed under the name uncultured Ruminococcus sp. RNAcentral describes it as "partial 16S ribosomal RNA". It matches the Rfam family "Bacterial small subunit ribosomal RNA", at positions 341 to 792 of the family's 1533-position model. The record is from RNAcentral. Lineage: Bacteria; Bacillati; Bacillota; Clostridia; Eubacteriales; Oscillospiraceae.
ACGGAAGGCAGCAGUGGGGAAUAUUGCACAAUGGGGGGAACCCUGAUGCAGCGAUGCCGCGUGGAGGAAGAAGGUUUUCGGAUUGUAAACUCCUGUCUUAAAGGACGAUAAUGACGGUACUUUAGGAGGAAGCUCCGGCUAACUACGUGCCAGCAGCCGCGGUAAUACGUAGGGAGCGAGCGUUGUCCGGAAUUACUGGGUGUAAAGGGAGCGUAGGCGGGAUUGCAAGUCAGAUGUGAAAACUAUGGGCUUAACCCAUAGACUGCAUUUGAAACUGUAGUUCUUGAGUGAAGUAGAGGUAAGCGGAACUCCUGGUGUAGCGGUGAAAUGCGUAGAUAUCAGGAGGAACACCGGUGGCGAAGGCGGCUUACUGGGCUUUUACUGACGCUGAGGCUCGAAAGCGUGGGGAGCAAACAGGAUUAGAUACCCUGGUA